GGCGUCGUGGCCAAAUGGAUAAGGUGUCUGACUUCGGAUCAGACGAUUCCAGGUUCGAGUCCUGGCGAGGUCG
This 73-nucleotide transfer RNA is filed under the name Paramuricea clavata. It matches the Rfam family "tRNA". From Rfam's summary of the family: Transfer RNA (tRNA) molecules are approximately 80 nucleotides in length. Their secondary structure includes four short double-helical elements and three loops (D, anti-codon, and T loops). Lineage: Eukaryota; Metazoa; Cnidaria; Anthozoa; Malacalcyonacea; Plexauridae. The record is from Rfam by way of RNAcentral.